Molecule: long non-coding RNA, 1254 nt
Organism: Gossypium arboreum
Lineage: Eukaryota; Viridiplantae; Streptophyta; Magnoliopsida; Malvales; Malvaceae
Exons: 5
Source: RefSeq, a predicted model, not a curated record
UAUUUUACUAAGGGUCCGUUUGUUUGGAAGUAAAACAUUUUCUGGAAAAAAUUUUCAGCCUUUUCCGUUGUUUGUUUAGUUGAAAAUAUUUUGGGAAAAUCAAUUACAAAACACGGGAAAAAAACAGCUUAAUUUUGGAAAAUGUCUUAUCGUUUCUAAUUCGGUAAGACAUUUUCAGGAAAAUUAGAAGCCAACACCGAUUUUCCCCUUCCCCUUCCCCCAUCCUUGACACCUGAUUUUCUGCUUGCCGUCAGCCAACACCGAUUCUCAACACCAGACACCGGCGUUCAUCAAAGCUUUUCCCCAUCUUUGCCUUUCGUUGUCAAAAUCUGCACUGGCGUUCAUCUUCCUCCCUCGAAGAUUCAAUCACAGUGCUUAUUGUUACUUCUUUUGGGUUAAAGUGAAGCAGCAUUGGUUAUGAUUUCUGGUUUUUGUUAUCUAAGAUAGAAUGAUUUUUGGAAAUGACUAAGGAUUUUGGGUAUAAUAGAGAAGAAGGAUAACUAGGAAAAACAAUACAACAUUCAACUUUAUGGUACCUGGUCUAGAUUGUGAAUACAUAUCAUUAUUCACCUAUUCAGCUAUGGGAUUAUGAAUAUGGAAUUGAUUCACCUAUUAAACUGGAUAUUCAGUACAGCUGCUGAAAAGAAUCAAAGUACUAAACCAACCAGCAUCGUUUGUGCUUAUUGGAAAGGAAAUGGUGCAAAACAAUGUUCUCAAUGUAAAGGAACUAGGGUUAAUUCAGUCGAUCACUUCAAUGGGCAAUUUAAAGCUGGUGGGCUGUGUUGGCUUUGCAGUUGUAGAAACUAGCACAUUCUUGGAUCCAAAGAAAGUACUAAAGUCAUUCAAGGAUAUAGGCAAUGGUGAUGCACUAAAAGGAAUAUGCACUACUUUGCAUUGUUAGUAAGCAAGGUACAGGAUGUUGUUGAACUUUGGCCUGCAAUGCAAUAGACACCAGCAGCAAACCAGCAUGCAGACCAGCAUCCAAGCUGAACCAGAGAAGCAACAACAUUUUGUUUAUUUUGUUCAUUUGUAACUUGAUUUAGUUCCUUUGUAAUUUAUACUUAAAGUUAGUAGGAGUAGUUUUUUAUUUAUGUUUAAUGUUAUAGCUGGUAUGUCAGCUACAUUUUGUGUGUAAUUUUAGCUAAGCUUUAGUCAUGUAUUAGUGGGAGCAGUUAUACAUUAGGUAACUGUCAUAUUUUAUUGUAACAUAAAUUCUUCUAAGUCAAUGAAAAAUAUCUAAUUUUUGGAGAUAAA